Molecule: ribosomal RNA, 497 nt
Filed under: uncultured bacterium
Lineage: Bacteria
Description: partial 16S ribosomal RNA
Rfam family: Bacterial small subunit ribosomal RNA
Source: RNAcentral
GAUGAACGCUGGCGGCGUGCCUAAUACAUGCAAGUCGAGCGAACGGACGAGAAGCUUGCUUCUCUGAUGUUAGCGGCGGACGGGUGAGUAACACGUGGAUAACCUACCUAUAAGACUGGGAUAACUUCGGGAAACCGGAGCUAAUACCGGAUGAUAUUUUGAACCGCAUGGUUCAAAAGUGAAAGACGGUCUUGCUGUCACUUAUAGAUGGAUCCGCGCUGCAUUAGCUAGUUGGUAAGGUAACGGCUUACCAAGGCAACGAUGCAUAGCCGACCUGAGAGGGUGAUCGGCCACACUGGAACUGAGACACGGUCCAGACUCCUACGGGAGGCAGCAGUAGGGAAUCUGCCGCAAUGGGCGAAAGCCUGACGGAGCAACGCCGCGUGAGUGAUGAAGGUCUUCGGAUCGUAAAACUCUGUUAUUAGGGAAGAACAUAUGUGUAAGUAACUGUGCACAGCUUGACGGUACCUAAUCAGAAAGCCACGGCUAACUACGUG